UACGUAGGGGGCUAGCGUUGUCCGGAUUUAUUGGGCGUAAAGAGCGUGUAGGCGGCCAGAUAGGUCUGCUGUGAAAACUCGAGGCUCAACCUCGAGACGUCGGUGGAAACCGUUUGGCUAGAGUCCGGAAGAGGAGAGUGGAAUUCCCGGUGUAGCGGUGAAAUGCGCAGAUAUCGGGAAGAACACCCGUGGCGAAGGCGGCUCUCUGGGACGGUACUGACGCUGAGACGCGAAAGCGUGGGGAGCAAACAGG
This 253-nucleotide ribosomal RNA is filed under the name uncultured bacterium. RNAcentral describes it as "partial 16S ribosomal RNA". It matches the Rfam family "Bacterial small subunit ribosomal RNA", at positions 524 to 776 of the family's 1533-position model. The record is from RNAcentral.